UGCUUGCACUAGAAAACUUAGCGGCGAACGGGUGAGUAACACGUAAAGACCUGCCUCAUAGACGGGGACAACUAUUGGAAACGAUAGCUAAUACCGGAUAAUCGCAUGAUAAAAGUUGGUUUCGCUAACACUAUGAGAUGGCUUUGCGGUGCAUUAGCUAGUUGGUGGGGUAAAGGCCUACCAAGGCGACGAUGCAUAGCCGACCUGAGAGGGUGAUCGGCCACACUGGGACUGAGACACGGCCCAGACUCCUACGGGAGGCAGCAGUAGGGAAUCUUCCGCAAUGGGCGAAAGCCUGACGGAGCAACGCCGCGUGAGUGAAGAAGGAUUUCGGUUCGUAAAGCUCUGUUG
Molecule: ribosomal RNA, 351 nt
Filed under: uncultured bacterium
Lineage: Bacteria
Description: bacterial SSU rRNA
Rfam family: Bacterial small subunit ribosomal RNA
Source: RNAcentral